Molecule: ribosomal RNA, 253 nt
Filed under: uncultured bacterium
Lineage: Bacteria
Description: partial 16S ribosomal RNA
Rfam family: Bacterial small subunit ribosomal RNA
Source: RNAcentral
UACGAAGGGGGCUAGCGUUGUUCGGAUUUACUGGGCGUAAAGCGCACGUAGGCGGAUCGUUAAGUCGGGGGUGAAAUCCUGGAGCUCAACUCCAGAACUGCCUUUGAUACUGAGGAUCUUGAGUUCGGGAGAGGUGAGCGGAAUUCCCAGUGUAGAGGUGAAAUUCGUAGAUAUUGGGAAGAACACCGGUGGCGAAGGCGGCUCACUGGCUCAUUACUGACGCUCAGGCGCGAUAGCGUGGGGAUCAAACAGG